GCGGAAGUCCCAUCAUAUUAUAGGCCAGGGUGUUGUCUAUCCAGCCGUGAAUACUGUAUGUGAGCGACUGGAAGUAAUCUUGUGCGAAGGAAAAUUUGCCAGGAACACAACUGUAUGGACUGAGAACUCUUGGUGUGAAGUCUCACUUUAGCUGCCAGGUAAGAAAAUUCCUUGGAUUUAAAUCUCUACAUUUCUAGGACUCCAGUAUGGCUGUGUUUGGCAUGGCUUGACAUAAAACUGGGCAUAACUGUCCAAAACUUUAUGAAAUUAAAACACUGCACUUAUAGAUACACUGGAGCAUUUCCCAAACUCAUUUCCUAAAGUCAUGAAUGCCGAGGUUUUUUAUUUUAAGAAAAAUGUGACUGUGAGGAAUCACUCCCUCUUAACACUCCAAACGAGACAGAGUAGGACCUCAUGCAGAGAAGCAGCAGAAGUAUUUCUUUAAUGACAGGAGAGGUAAAUGCUGCAGAGAUGGCACCAUUACAUGAGGAAUGCUCACAGCCCUCCAACCACAGCCUUUUAAUACAUAUAUUUCUCUCAACAUCCUAGAAAUGAGUCAAAGGAGUAAUAUAUUGGACAUAUGAGCUUUCCUAAGCCUAGUAUACAUGUCUUCUGGGUCUCCUGAAAAAGGAGAAAUCUAGAUCCCGUGUUAUUCAAGGGUUAAACUUGAAGUCCUCAUCACAAAAUGUUUUGCUUUUCAGUGUUUAUAUAAUCCUGAGAGUAUGAAGAAAGCUGUCUUUCAAUUAUCACAACUCAAUACAAUUCUUAUUCAUCUUUUGAUGGCAAAGUUCCAUGUACUGGAAGCUGACUUCACCCUAAACCUUGGGGUACGAAUAUCCAAAACAGGUAGGAAUUGAGGCUGAUGAGGCAUAAACAGUCCAAAAAUACACUUUAUCGGGAAGGAAGAAUCAAGGUUGGCACAAAUGCUAGAUUACAUCUUUAAAUUGCAGCUUCCGUCCCUCCAUUUUUGACUUGUAAACUAUUUUUCUGGCUCCUGGUUUGACUUAAAAAAAUUCUGAAUUGCAACAUCCUGUUUCCAGAGGGUGAAGCAGGGAAGUGCAGCUCUGCUUGGCAAAUAUGACACAUCUUUCUGGCUCUGUGGAGCACAACAGCAAAAACUAUUCCUAUGAAUGGCUGUUAUUACAAUUUAAAAUCUGGGCCGGCUAGAUAGGAGUGGAAAGUUAAUCAGAAUAAUGUGCAUUUAAUAGUGACAUACAAAUAGAAAAAUAGUAGCGUAUGAAAUUGUCAGUGGAAUACGGCCUUCCAAGAAACUCCAUUUCCACUUAAAAAGUACAUUAAAAAAA
This is a long non-coding RNA of Crotalus tigris (Tiger rattlesnake), 1304 nucleotides long. RefSeq lists it as uncharacterized. NCBI's taxonomy places the organism in Eukaryota, Metazoa, Chordata, Lepidosauria, Squamata, Viperidae. The transcript has 2 exons. The record is from RefSeq and is a predicted model, not a curated record.